RNAcentral lists this unclassified non-coding RNA (329 nucleotides) under soil metagenome. Its description in RNAcentral is "partial contains 5.8S ribosomal RNA, internal transcribed spacer 2, and large subunit ribosomal RNA". The stretch from base 1 to 120 matches the Rfam family "5.8S ribosomal RNA", at positions 35 to 154 of the family's 154-position model. The record is from RNAcentral.
GAUGAAGAACGCAGCGAAAUGCGACAAGUAAUGUGAAUUGCAGAAUUCCGUGAAUCAUCGAAUCUUUGAACGCACAUUGCGCCCUCUGGUAUUCUGGAGGGCAUGCCUGUCCGAGCGUCAUUACAACCCUCAAGCUCAGCUUGGUGUUGGGCCCCGCCGCCCCGGCGGGCCCUAAAGUCAGUGGCGGUGCCGUCCGGCUCCGAGCGUAGUAAUUCUUCUCGCUCUGGAGGUCCGGUCGUGUGCUCGCCAGCAACCCCCAAUUUUUUUCAGGUUGACCUCGGAUCAGGUAGGGAUACCCGCUGAACUUAAGCAUAUCAAUAAGCGGAGGA